RNAcentral lists this ribosomal RNA (468 nucleotides) under uncultured bacterium. Its description in RNAcentral is "partial 16S ribosomal RNA". It matches the Rfam family "Bacterial small subunit ribosomal RNA", at positions 28 to 507 of the family's 1533-position model. The record is from RNAcentral.
GACGAACGCUGGCGGUGUGCUUAACACAUGCAAGUCGAACGGUAAGGCCCUUUCGGGGGUACACGAGUGGCGAACGGGUGAGUAACACGUGAGUAACCUGCCCUCAUCUCUGGGAUAACAGUCGGAAACGGUUGCUAAUACUGGAUAUGAGCUUGCAAGGCAUCUUGUGGGUUGGAAAGAUUUUUUUUGGUUGGGGAUGGACUCGCGGCCCAUCAGCUUGUUGGUGAGGUAGUGGCUCACCAAGGCUUCGGCGGGUAGCCGGCCUGAGAGGGCGACCGGCCACAUUGGGACUGAGAUACGGCCCAAACUCCUACGGGAGGCAGCAGUGGGGAAUAUUGCACAAUGGACGGAAGUCUGAUGCAGCAACGCCGCGUGCGGGAUGACGGCCUUCGGGUUGUAAACCGCUUUCAAUUGUGACGAAGCUUUUUUGUGACGGUAGCAGUAGAAGAAGCACCGGCUAACUACGUG